RNAcentral lists this ribosomal RNA (271 nucleotides) under uncultured archaeon. RNAcentral's name for it is "partial 16S ribosomal RNA". It matches the Rfam family "Archaeal small subunit ribosomal RNA", at positions 477 to 747 of the family's 1478-position model. The record is from RNAcentral.
CAGCGCCACGAGUGGGGAUCCUGUUUAUUUGGCCUAAAGCGUCCGUAGCUGGUUUAGUAAAUCUUUUGUGAAAUCGUUAAGCUUAACUUAACGGCGUGCAGGAGAGACUGCUAGACUAGGGACCGGGAGGAGUCAGAGGUAUGCUGUGGGGAGCGGUAAAAUGCUAUAAUCCUCGGUAGACCACCGGUGGCGAAGGCGUCUGACUAGAACGGGUCCGACAGUGAGGGACGAAAGCCAGGGGAGCAAACCGGAUUAGAUACCCGAGUAGUCC